UACGAAGGGGGCGAGCGUUGUUCGGAUUUACUGGGCGUAAAGGGCGCGUAGGCGGCGGGUCAAGUCGAGUGUGAAAGCCCCGGGCUCAACCUGGGAAUUGCGCUCGAGACUGGUCUGCUUGAGUUCGGGAGAGGAGAGUGGAAUUCCCAGUGUAGAGGUGAAAUUCGUAGAUAUUGGGAAGAACACCGGUGGCGAAGGCGGCUCUCUGGACCGAGACUGACGCUGAGGCGCGAAAGCGUGGGGAGCAAACAGG
RNAcentral lists this ribosomal RNA (253 nucleotides) under uncultured bacterium. RNAcentral's name for it is "partial 16S ribosomal RNA". It matches the Rfam family "Bacterial small subunit ribosomal RNA", at positions 524 to 776 of the family's 1533-position model. The record is from RNAcentral.